This 24-nucleotide transfer RNA is filed under the name Acanthurus mata (elongate surgeonfish). RNAcentral describes it as "partial tRNA-Pro". The record is from RNAcentral. Lineage: Eukaryota; Metazoa; Chordata; Actinopteri; Acanthuriformes; Acanthuridae.
CUAGUAUUCUCUAUUAAACUACUC